UACGGAGGAUGCGAGCGUUAUCCGGAUUUAUUGGGUUUAAAGGGUGCGCAGGCGGCGUGUCAAGUCAGCGGUAAAAUGUCGGGGCUCAACCCCGGCCGGCCGUUGAAACUGGCGUGCUCGAGUUGGAGAGAAGUAUGCGGAAUUCGUGGUGUAGCGGUGAAAUGCAUAGAUAUCACGAAGAACCCCGAUUGCGGAGGCAGCAUACCGGCUCCACACUGACGCUGAGGCACGAAAGCGUGGGUAUCGAACAGG
RNAcentral lists this ribosomal RNA (252 nucleotides) under uncultured bacterium. RNAcentral's name for it is "partial 16S ribosomal RNA". It matches the Rfam family "Bacterial small subunit ribosomal RNA", at positions 524 to 776 of the family's 1533-position model. The record is from RNAcentral.